UUUUUGAGAACACAGCAUUCAGUCCAUAAUACCAGUAGGUAUUUGCCAGACUGCUGCUAAGUGGAAAAGGAUAUAUAGGAAGCGAGAUAACAUCGACUAGACUUGGAUUAAAACGAAGCCUGUCUCACUUCCUAGUCAUGCGGACCUGAACAGAUUUCCUGUCCAUGAAUUGGGGCAAGCAGUGCUUACAAGACAAGGCAAAAUGAGAAUCAAAUGACAUAAUCUCCUGGUACUUUCCAGACAAUAUGGGGACAGCUGGGAAGGAAGUGGGUCAUCUGACUAUCAGGAUCAGACCGGUUGAAGCAGUGAUCACCUCUUGCCCUCACUCAUCAGCAUGAGCACCUUCCUGACUUCCCCCCACACUGUAAAAAUAUGUCUCUGUGCUUUGGCUCCUCGUCUCUAACUUCAUCAUGCAGGGUUUACCCACAGCUCAGACCUCCUCACCUACAAUGCAGCUUCCCAACACUAAUCUUUCUGAAUCUUACAAAAUAUCUGUUCCACAAGAGAUGUCACUUUUCAUUCACUAAUUUUGCAAAUAUCAACUGUUUUAUGUAAAAAAUUUCUAAGAUAAAACACCAAUAAAAGACUAUUAUUUCUACGAGAGCUGUUUUGACGGGAGUGAUAUAUGAAAUCGAUUCUAUUCUGACUCAUGACA
RNAcentral lists this long non-coding RNA (655 nucleotides) under Equus asinus (donkey). RNAcentral describes it as "lncRNA (ENSEASG00005037014.1)". The record is from RNAcentral. Lineage: Eukaryota; Metazoa; Chordata; Mammalia; Perissodactyla; Equidae.